This 225-nucleotide ribosomal RNA is filed under the name Scheffersomyces stipitis. Its description in RNAcentral is "partial 26S rRNA". It matches the Rfam family "Eukaryotic large subunit ribosomal RNA", at positions 1623 to 1848 of the family's 3401-position model. Lineage: Eukaryota; Fungi; Ascomycota; Pichiomycetes; Serinales; Debaryomycetaceae. The record is from RNAcentral.
ACUUGGAUAUGGAUUCUUCACGGUAACGUAACUGAAUGUGGAGACGUCGGCGUGAGCCCUGGGAGGAGUUCUCUNUUCUUCUUAACAGCUUAUCACCCUGGAAUUGGUUUAUCCGGAGAUAGGGUNUUAUGGCUGGAAGAGUGCAAUACUUUUGUUGCAUCCGGUGCGCUUACGACGGUCCUUGAAAAUCCACAGGAAGGAAUAGUUUUCAUGCCAAGUCGUACU